This 514-nucleotide ribosomal RNA is filed under the name uncultured bacterium. Its description in RNAcentral is "bacterial SSU rRNA". It matches the Rfam family "Bacterial small subunit ribosomal RNA", at positions 28 to 589 of the family's 1533-position model. The record is from RNAcentral.
AGCGAACGCUGGCGGCAGGCCUAACACAUGCAAGUCGAACGGACCCUUCGGGGUUAGUGGCGGACGGGUGAGUAACACGUGGGAACGUGCCUUUAGGUUCGGAAUAGCUCCUGGAAACGGGUGGUAAUGCCGAAUGUGCCCUUCGGGGGAAAGAUUUAUCGCCUUUAGAGCGGCCCGCGUCUGAUUAGCUUGUUGGUGGGGUAAUGGCCCACCAAGGCUACGAUCAGUAGCUGGUCUGAGAGGAUGACCAGCCACAUUGGGACUGAGACACGGCCCAAACUCCUACGGGAGGCAGCAGUGGGAAUCUUGCGCAAUGGGCGAAAGCCUGACGCAGCCAUGCCGCGUGUAUGAUGAAGGUCUUAGGAUUGUAAAAUACUUUCACCGGUGAAGAUAAUGACUGUAGCCGGAGAAGAAGCCCCGGCUAACUUCGUGCCAGCAGCCGCGGUAAUACGAAGGGGGCUAGCGUUGCUCGGAAUUACUGGGCGUAAAGGGAGCGUAGGCGGACAUUUAAGUC